UGGAAUCAAAUACAUAUUUGAAACCAUAUUAAGCAUUAAGCAAGCAAAUAAUUUUGCAGCACAGGAAAACACAACAUGCAACCCAAAUUUAGUUGAGGUUUACUUGGAGACGGACACUAAACCAAAGUUUAGAACCAUACUUAACAUGAAAUAUACCAUCAUUGACCAAUUGAUGUCAUAGAUAAUCACACUAAACAAAGUCCACCCAUAACAAUGAAAUUCAUAACCACGGUACAAGAUUUCAUAGUUUGAAUUCUGAUUUGGGAUUCAAAAAUCUCAUUUCUUCCCACUCUUCUUGAGCCCUGAACCUCCAA
This 314-nucleotide long non-coding RNA is filed under the name Citrus maxima (pomelo). RNAcentral describes it as "long non-coding RNA (CMAX_LNC000166)". Lineage: Eukaryota; Viridiplantae; Streptophyta; Magnoliopsida; Sapindales; Rutaceae. The record is from RNAcentral.